Molecule: unclassified non-coding RNA, 18 nt
Filed under: Mus musculus (house mouse)
Lineage: Eukaryota; Metazoa; Chordata; Mammalia; Rodentia; Muridae
Description: oocyte_clustered_small_RNA12008
Source: RNAcentral
GCCACAGAUUACUCAAGU